Molecule: ribosomal RNA, 500 nt
Filed under: uncultured bacterium
Lineage: Bacteria
Description: partial 16S ribosomal RNA
Rfam family: Bacterial small subunit ribosomal RNA
Source: RNAcentral
AUUGAACGCUGGCGGCAUGCCUUACACAUGCAAGUCGAACGGCAGCACGGGAGCAAUCCUGGUGGCGAGUGGCGAACGGGUGAGUAAUAUAUCGGAACGUGCCCAGUCGUGGGGGAUAACGCAGCGAAAGCUGUGCUAAUACCGCAUACGAUCUAAGGAUGAAAGCGGGGGAUCGCAAGACCUCGCGCGAUUGGAGCGGCCGAUAUCAGAUUAGCUAGUUGGUGGGGUAAAGGCCCACCAAGGCGACGAUCUGUAGCUGGUCUGAGAGGACGACCAGCCACACUGGAACUGAGACACGGUCCAGACUCCUACGGGAGGCAGCAGUGGGGAAUUUUGGACAAUGGGCGCAAGCCUGAUCCAGCAAUGCCGCGUGCAGGACGAAGGCCUUCGGGUUGUAAACUGCUUUUGUACGGAACGAAACGGCCCUUUCUAAUACAGGGGGCUAAUGGCGGUACCGUAAGAAUAAGCACCGGCUAACUACGUGCCAGCCGCCGCCGUAA